RNAcentral lists this unclassified non-coding RNA (265 nucleotides) under fungal sp. RNAcentral's name for it is "partial internal transcribed spacer region". The stretch from base 1 to 46 matches the Rfam family "Eukaryotic small subunit ribosomal RNA", at positions 1786 to 1831 of the family's 1831-position model. The record is from RNAcentral. Lineage: Eukaryota; Fungi.
AAGUCGUAACAAGGUUUCCGUAGGUGAACCUGCGGAAGGAUCAUUGAUAAAAGUCUCAUUGACUUUAUUGCCUCUGUUUAUUUUUACCCGUUUCUUCCACUGGACAGGCAAACUUUGUACAGUGAGCUGCCUCUAACUGCAGAUAUUUUUUUCUCAGUAUGAGAGUGCCAGUGGAUAUUCCAAUACAUAAAACUUUGAUAUAGAACUUUUGUCAGAAUAUAUUGAAAAAUAAAUAAAACUUUCAACAAUGGAUCUCUAGGCUCUU